Molecule: ribosomal RNA, 394 nt
Filed under: uncultured soil bacterium
Lineage: Bacteria
Description: bacterial SSU rRNA
Rfam family: Bacterial small subunit ribosomal RNA
Source: RNAcentral
AGAUUGAACGCUGGCGGCAUGCCUAACACAUGCAAGUCGAACGGGAGUAGCAAUACUCUAGUGGCGGACGGGUGAGGAAUACGUAGGAAUUUGGCCCUUAAGUGGGGGAUGACCCGGGGAAACCCGGAUUAAUACCGCAUGACCUCGAAAGAGCAAAGUGGGGGAUCGCAAGACCUCACGCUUUUGGAGAAGCCUACGUCGGAUUAGCUAGUUGGUGAGGUAAUGGGCUCACCAAGGCGACGAUCCGUAACUGGUCUGAGAGGAUGAUCAGUCACACCGGAACUGAGACACGGUCCGGACUCCUACGGGAGGCAGCGAGUGGGGGAAUAGUUGGGACAAUGGGCGCAAGCCUGAUCCAGGCAAUGCCGCGUGUGUGAGAAGGCUUCGGUGUAAG